This 74-nucleotide transfer RNA is filed under the name Planctomycetota bacterium. RNAcentral describes it as "tRNA-Arg". It matches the Rfam family "tRNA". Rfam says of the family: Transfer RNA (tRNA) molecules are approximately 80 nucleotides in length. Their secondary structure includes four short double-helical elements and three loops (D, anti-codon, and T loops). RNAcentral also lists the same sequence under 2 other names. Lineage: Bacteria; Pseudomonadati; Planctomycetota. The record is from RNAcentral.
GCCCCGGUAGCUCAGUUGGAUAGAGCAGGGCUUUCCUAAAGCUCAGGUCGUAGGUUCGAAUCCUGCCCGGGGUG